RNAcentral lists this ribosomal RNA (253 nucleotides) under uncultured bacterium. RNAcentral's name for it is "partial 16S ribosomal RNA". It matches the Rfam family "Bacterial small subunit ribosomal RNA", at positions 524 to 776 of the family's 1533-position model. The record is from RNAcentral.
UACGUAGGGGGCAAGCGUUGUCCGGAUUUACUGGGCGUAAAGAGCGCGCAGGCGGUCGUUCAAGUCGCGUGUGAAAGCCCCCGGCUCAACUGGGGAGGGUCACGCGAUACUGAUCGACUCGAAGGCAGGAGAGGGUAGUGGAAUUCCCGGUGUAGUGGUGAAAUGCGUAGAUAUCGGGAGGAACACCAGUGGCGAAGGCGACUACCUGGCCUGUUCUUGACGCUGAGGCGCGAAAGCUAGGGGAGCAAACGGG